RNAcentral lists this ribosomal RNA (717 nucleotides) under Triticum aestivum (bread wheat). Its description in RNAcentral is "partial small subunit ribosomal RNA". The record is from RNAcentral. Lineage: Eukaryota; Viridiplantae; Streptophyta; Magnoliopsida; Poales; Poaceae.
CAGAACUCUCAGAAUAAAAUAUACCACGCUUUGAGGUCAGUUGGGGCAAACUAUGGUGUCGCUCGCUGGGAUAAAGCUGAGGAACCGUUCCGUCGGCCGCCAAAGCCAGAGGAGGAGGACCAAGAAUCACGGAGGCUGAAAGAUGCAACACAAACGUGUGUUGUUGCUUCAGUCCUAAUAGCAACUGCCUACAAUGCAACUUUUGCCAUCCCUGGAGGUUACAGAAACGAUGAUCAUAUAAGUGGAGUCACGCCAACAUAUGCUGGGAGUUUUGUUUUUGACGCUUUCAUGAUGGCCACCACAUUAGCUUUUAUAUGCUCUUCACUAGCUACCGUUGGCUUCACGUUUCCUGCAAAUCCAAUGGUUAACUUGGUCACCCGUAAAGUCUACUUAGUCUUAUCUGUGCUUUCCUUCUCGAGCUCAUUCAUAUUCAUGUCGAUUUCAUUUGCACUGGGUGUGUAUAUGGUGCUAGGUCCAUAUGCUCGUAAUACUGCCGUUGCAGUCUGUGUCCUUGCUCCUACCGUAUGGUUAGGUACAUAUAUGGAUGCUAUUUCUAAAUUUGUUAUUCUUGCACAACCAUUAUGCAUUAGAAAGGGGUUAUUCAAAGGAAUGGUAGAAUUACUAAGGAUGUACACGCUCAUAAUGACCACUACACUUUGGCCCAUCAUAGUUACCUUUGGUUGGGCUGCGGUGGCAAGGAUCCACCGUCACCGCUAA